Molecule: ribosomal RNA, 459 nt
Filed under: uncultured bacterium
Lineage: Bacteria
Description: partial 16S ribosomal RNA
Rfam family: Bacterial small subunit ribosomal RNA
Source: RNAcentral
CCUACGGGAGGCAGCAGUGAGGAAUAUUGGUCAAUGGCCGCAAGCCUGAACCAGCCAAGCAGCGUGAAGGACGAAUGUGCCAAGCGUUGUAAACUUCUUUUAUCAAGGAACAAAGUCAGGCUCGAGAGCCUGUUCGAAGGUACUUUAUGAAUAAGCAUCGGCUAACUCCGUGCCAGCAGCCGCGGUAAUACGGAGGAUGCGAGCGUUAUCCGGAUUUAUUGGGUUUAAAGGGUGCGUAGGCGGAUUGUUAAGUCAGCGGGAAAAGCUGGGGGUUAAACCCAGACGAGCCGUUGAAACUGGCAGUCUUGAGAUGUGGAGAGGUAGGCGGAAUGCGCAGUGUAGCGGUGAAAUGCUUAGAUAUUGCGAAGAACUCCGAUUGCGAAGGCAGCAUACUGGAGGCGAACUGACGCUGAGGCACGAAAGCGUGGGUAUCGAACAGGAUUAGAUACCCGAGUAGUC